This 513-nucleotide ribosomal RNA is filed under the name uncultured bacterium. RNAcentral describes it as "bacterial SSU rRNA". It matches the Rfam family "Bacterial small subunit ribosomal RNA", at positions 28 to 527 of the family's 1533-position model. The record is from RNAcentral.
GACGAACGCUGGCGGCGUGGAUUAGGCAUGCAAGUCGAACGGUAUCAUCCUUUCGGGGGUGAGAGAGUGGCGAACUGGUGAGUAACACGUAGGUUAUCUACCCUCAAGACGGGGACAACCCAGGGAAACUUGGGCUAAUACCGGAUGUGAGCAACUUUUAGUUGUUUGAAAGGUGGCGUAAGCCGUCGCUUGGGGAUGAGCCUGCGUCCUAUUAGUUAGUUGGUGAGGUAACGGCUCACCUAGGCAAUGAUAGGUAGGCGGCCUUAACGGGUGGUCGCCCACACUGGGAUUGAGAUACGGCCCAGACUCCUACGGGAGGCAGCAGUCGAGAAUAGUCUACAAUGGUCGGAAGACUGAUAGUGCGACGCCGCGUGAACGAUGAAUCCCUUCGGGGUGUAAAGUUCUUUUAUAUGUGAGCAGUGCUUCUUAUAUUUAACAGUAUGGGGAGAGGAGAUAUUAGCAUAUGAAUAAGCAACGGCUAACUCCGUGCCAGCAGCCGACGGUAAAAUCACG